UACCGGCGGCUCGAGUGGUGGCCGAUAUUAUUGAGUCUAAAGGGUCCGUAGCCGGCUUUGCAAGUCUCUCGGGAAAUCCAGCGGCUUAACCGUUGGUCGUCCGGGGGGUACUACAUUGCUUGGGACUGGGAGAGGUAGGAGGUACUCAGGGGGUAGGAGUGAAAUCCUGUAAUCCUUUGGGGACCACCGGUGGCGAAGGCGUCCUACCAGAACAGGUCCGACGGUGAGGGACGAAAGCUAGGGGCACGAACCGG
Molecule: ribosomal RNA, 254 nt
Filed under: Methanocella sp.
Lineage: Archaea; Methanobacteriati; Methanobacteriota; Methanomicrobia; Methanocellales; Methanocellaceae
Also listed under: 2 other names
Description: partial 16S ribosomal RNA
Rfam family: Archaeal small subunit ribosomal RNA
Source: RNAcentral